RNAcentral lists this unclassified non-coding RNA (335 nucleotides) under soil metagenome. Its description in RNAcentral is "partial contains 5.8S ribosomal RNA, internal transcribed spacer 2, and large subunit ribosomal RNA". The stretch from base 1 to 120 matches the Rfam family "5.8S ribosomal RNA", at positions 35 to 154 of the family's 154-position model. The record is from RNAcentral.
GAUGAAGAACGCAGCGAAAUGCGAUAAGUAAUGUGAAUUGCAGAAUUCAGUGAAUCAUCGAAUCUUUGAACGCACAUUGCGCCCGCCAGUAUUCUGGCGGGCAUGCCUGUUCGAGCGUCAUUUCAACCAUCAAGCCCCCGGCUUGUGUUGGGGACCUGCGGCUGCCGCAGGCCCUGAGAACCAGUGGCGGGCUCGCUAGUCACUCCGAGCGUAGUAAUACAUCUCGCUCAGGGCGUGCUGCGGGUUCCGGCCGUUAAAAAGCCUUAUUUACCCAAGGUUGACCUCGGAUCAGGUAGGAAGACCCGCUGAACUUAAGCAUAUCAAUAAGCGGAGGA